This 401-nucleotide ribosomal RNA is filed under the name uncultured bacterium. RNAcentral's name for it is "bacterial SSU rRNA". It matches the Rfam family "Bacterial small subunit ribosomal RNA", at positions 29 to 418 of the family's 1533-position model. The record is from RNAcentral.
AGUGAACGCUGGCGGCAGGCCUAACACAUGCAAGUCGAGCGGCAGCGCGUCCGACCACCCUCGGGUGGUCGGGUGCCGGCGAGUGGCGAACGGGUGAGUAAUAUAUCGGAACGUACCUUUCAGUGGGGGAUAACGUAGCGAAAGUUACGCUAAUACCGCAUAUUCUGUGAGCAGGAAAGCAGGGGAUCGCAAGACCUUGCGCUGAUUGAGCGGCCGAUAUCAGAUUAGCUAGUUGGUGAGGUAAAGGCUCACCAAGGCGACGAUCUGUAGCGGGUCUGAGAGGAUGAUCGCCACACUGGAACUGAGACACGGUCCAGACUCCUACGGGAGGCAGCAGUGGGGAAUUUUGGACAAUGGGCGCAAGCCUGAUCCAGCCAUGCCGCGUGAGUGAAGAAGGCCUC